RNAcentral lists this long non-coding RNA (208 nucleotides) under Trifolium pratense (red clover). RNAcentral describes it as "long non-coding RNA (TPRA_LNC009145)". The record is from RNAcentral. Lineage: Eukaryota; Viridiplantae; Streptophyta; Magnoliopsida; Fabales; Fabaceae.
AGUUGUUUUAUGUUCUUGUUUUUUUUAGAGUUUCUUGUUUCUAAUUACUACACCCCACUUUAUAAUAUGCCCUCACAUAUCCACCACUCUCACUCUUCAUAUCUUGAACUUAACUAAAAAAGUAUCAAACUUAUUUACCAAAAAUAAAAACAAUCUUUUACUCCUUUAUCUACUAAAGUUUCAAACUUUGGAAUCAAGUUCUUGUUUU